This 75-nucleotide transfer RNA is filed under the name uncultured archaeon. Its description in RNAcentral is "tRNA-Arg(gcg)". It matches the Rfam family "tRNA". Rfam says of the family: Transfer RNA (tRNA) molecules are approximately 80 nucleotides in length. The record is from RNAcentral.
GCCCUCGUGGUAUAACUUGGAUAGCAUGCGAGCUUGCGGAGCUUGAGAUUAGGGUUCAAAUCCCUACGAGGGCGC